GGAUGACGGGAGCUUGCUCCUUGAUUCAGCGGCGGACGGGUGAGUAAUGCCUAGGAAUCUGCCUGGUAGUGGGGGACAACGUUUCGAAAGGAACGCUAAUACCGCAUACGUCCUACGGGAGAAAGCAGGGGACCUUCGGGCCUUGCGCUAUCAGAUGAGCCUAGGUCGGAUUAGCUAGUUGGUGGGGUAAUGGCUCACCAAGGCGACGAUCCGUAACUGGUCUGAGAGGAUGAUCAGUCACACUGGAACUGAGACACGGUCCAGACUCCUACGGGAGGCAGCAGUGGGGAAUAUUGGACAAUGGGCGAAAGCCUGAUCCAGCCAUGCCGCGUGUGUGAAGAAGGUCUUCGGAUUGUAAAGCACUUUAAGUUGGGAGGAAGGGCAGUAAGCUAAUACCUUGCUGUUUUGACGUUACCGAC
RNAcentral lists this ribosomal RNA (419 nucleotides) under Pseudomonas sp. Its description in RNAcentral is "bacterial SSU rRNA". It matches the Rfam family "Bacterial small subunit ribosomal RNA", at positions 68 to 482 of the family's 1533-position model. The record is from RNAcentral. Lineage: Bacteria; Pseudomonadati; Pseudomonadota; Gammaproteobacteria; Pseudomonadales; Pseudomonadaceae.